This 257-nucleotide unclassified non-coding RNA is filed under the name plant metagenome. Its description in RNAcentral is "partial contains small subunit ribosomal RNA, internal transcribed spacer 1, and 5.8S ribosomal RNA". The stretch from base 1 to 55 matches the Rfam family "Eukaryotic small subunit ribosomal RNA", at positions 1778 to 1831 of the family's 1831-position model. The record is from RNAcentral.
GGAAGUAAAAGUCCGUAACAAGGUUUCCGUAGGUGAACCUGCGGAAGGAUCAUUACAGUAGUCACCCAGGUUGCCGCAAGGCCUCCUGGGUAACCUACCACCCUUUGUUUAUUACACUUUGUUGCUUUGGCAAGCCUGCCCUCGGGCUGCUGGCUCCGGCCGGCGAGCGCUUGCCAGAGGACCUAAACUCUGUUUGUCUAUACUGUCUGAGUACUAUAUAAUAGUUAAAACUUUCAACAACGGAUCUCUUGGUUCUG